RNAcentral lists this ribosomal RNA (1659 nucleotides) under Triticum aestivum (bread wheat). RNAcentral describes it as "partial small subunit ribosomal RNA". The record is from RNAcentral. Lineage: Eukaryota; Viridiplantae; Streptophyta; Magnoliopsida; Poales; Poaceae.
AUGAGAGCCGCUUGCUUCUCCUUGUUCUUCACCGCCGCCUCCCUCCCCCUCCCUUCGACCUCCACCGCUGCCUCGAGCCCACGCUGUCAGAGUCACGCCUCCUACCGCUGGUCCCAGCCACGCCACCGCCGCGGCGGGGUGGUCCGGGCCCUCGACGAGCGGCUGCUAGAGGCACUAACCCCCGCACCAGCGGAGACCGAGGUCGAGGAUGAGAGUGGUGUCGGUGAGAUAGAAGACGGCGGUGAACGAGAGGGAAGAGAUGGGGUGGCUAAUAUUGUGGGCCCGUCGGAGGCCCAUGAGCAGCCGAAGAGCAGGCGACGACAGCAGCAGGAGGAAGAGGAUGCCGCGGCGGAGCGCACCCGGUUCAAGCUCAUCAACGGCAAAGAGAUAUUUCAAGAGAAGACCUACCUAGUUGGAGUCGAGUGCAAGAAGGCCGCAAGUGAUAACUUCAGCAUAGAGGAAUCGCUCAAGGAGCUCGAGCAGUUAGCUGAUACUGCUGGGCUCAUGGUUCUCGGAUCGACCUAUCAAAAGCUUUCAAGUCCAAAUCCAAGGACUUAUAUUGGUUCAGGGAAGGUUGCUGAAAUUAGGAGUGCAGUUCAGGCCCUUGAUAUUGAGACUAUAAUUUUCGAUGAUGAGUUGUCUGCUGGACAGCUGCGUAACUUGGAGAAGUCCUUUGGUGGAGGUGUUCGAGUCUGUGACCGGACUGCUCUUAUUCUGGACAUUUUUAAUCAAAGGGCAGCGACGCAUGAAGCUGCUCUGCAGGUCACCUUGGCACAAAUGGAAUAUCAACUUCCUAGGUUGACAAAGCUGUGGACUCACCUUGAGCGGCAGUCAGGAGGCCAAGUCAAGGGUAUGGGUGAGAAACAAAUUGAAGUUGACAAGCGCAUCUUGAGAACACAAAUAAGCACUUUGAGGAAGGAAUUGGAGUCUGUCCGAAAACAUAGAAAGCUUUAUCGCAACCGUCGACGGUCGGUGCCUAUUCCUGUUGUUUCUCUGGUGGGAUAUACAAAUGCUGGAAAAAGUACACUCUUGAACCGCUUAACUGGAGCUGAUGUGCUCGCUGAGGAUAAAUUAUUUGCCACACUAGACCCAACAACACGGAGGGUGUUGAUGAAGAGCGGCACUGAGUUCCUCCUAACAGAUACUGUCGGGUUCAUUCAGAAGCUACCCACUAUGCUGGUGGCAGCAUUUAGAGCAACACUGGAGGAGAUAUCAGAAUCAUCAAUUAUUGUUCAUCUUGUAGAUAUCAGCCAUGCAUUAGCUCAACAACAGAUAGGUGCUGUUGACAAAGUACUGAAAGAGCUGGAUAUAGACUCGGUUCCGAAGUUGGUUGUGUGGAAUAAGAUUGACAAUGCCAAUAACCCAUUGAGAGUGAAGGAGGAAGCCGAGAAACAAGGGAUAAUCUGCAUAUCCGCCAUGAAUGGUGAUGGUUUGGAAGAGUUCUGCAAUGCAAUCCAAGCAAAGUUGAAAGACUCAAUGGUGCCCAUAGAAGCUUUUGUUCCGUAUGACAAAGGAGAUCUGCUAAAUGACAUACAUAAGGUUGGAAUGGUUGAGAAAACGGAGUACAUGGAAAAUGGCACGUUGAUAAAAGCACAUGUGCCUCUACCUCUUGCAAGGCUUCUCACGCCGUUGCGGCAGCAGGUGGCUGCUCCUCUAUGA